Molecule: long non-coding RNA, 265 nt
Organism: Puntigrus tetrazona (Sumatra barb)
Lineage: Eukaryota; Metazoa; Chordata; Actinopteri; Cypriniformes; Cyprinidae
Exons: 3
Source: RefSeq, a predicted model, not a curated record
GUGAUUCGAACUGCUUUAGAGAGAAGUAGCGCGUAAUGUUUGUUCGUCAAGAGGAAUAGUGCGCGCAAUGCGCAACAUGGAGCAGCGCCGAUGGAUCGCAAGAAACAUGCGCAGAUAUUUUCCACAUAGUGAUGGCAGAAUCGAGUCCGUAUGAUUCUCCGACUCGAGUCUUCGCAGACGUUUCUGGCCGAUGUCGUGAAAUGUCGCAGAACAAGACUCAAGAUCCGUCUUCUGCGAUGUUACGAGGGCACUGCCUGCAUGUCAA